RNAcentral lists this long non-coding RNA (3452 nucleotides) under Homo sapiens (human). Its description in RNAcentral is "HSALNT0357066". Lineage: Eukaryota; Metazoa; Chordata; Mammalia; Primates; Hominidae. The record is from RNAcentral.
CACAUGCGCGGCAGCUCCCGCUGCUGAAUAGCUGAGAGGCGCACCCGGGCGGCCAGCUGGGCUCGGAGUGCAGCGGGGUUAGGAUGGACGAGGACGUGUUGCACCCUGAAGAGCCUCAUCAUCGCCUGCUCUUGAGGUUCACAGAUGAUACCUUUGAUCCAGAACUUGCAGCAACAAUAGACAAUGCAGGAAUCACAUGAACCUGUCCAUCCACAGAUAAAGUGGUAAAGAAACUGCCGUAUUAGAUACAUGAUGGUAUACUCUUCAGCCAUAAAGCUUCGGGAAACCCUGUCAUCCGCAACCACGUGGAGAAACCUGUCCAUCCACAGAUGAAGGGAUCAGGAAGCUCUGAUCCAUCUUCGGUUGUGAAUCCGGCCCGGAAUGCAGCCACCCCUUAGAGCAACCCCCCUUGCUGCUCGUGCCCUGCUGUGCUACUGCCUCAGUCACUUCCUGCUUGGUCAAGACCACAGCUGCUGAUGUCACAGCUGAGGCACAUCAGAAAGGCUGCCUGAUUCAAAGAAAGCUGCCGGAUAAAUCAUAGAGCACAGACACUUCUACCUCAUGCUCUUAUGGGACUUUAGGAACCAAACAUAAGCACCUAUGGAAAAUGCACGGCGGUCUUGAAAGGCUGUGGUCUUUAUCAGAAAAUAUCUGAAUGACUGUUUGUUAUGUCAGUCCUACUCUGCAGGCUUGCUAAGAUGAUGAUUGAAAGGGCUCUUGGUUUCUGCUUUGGAAUCUGGCAUUUAUGUUUUGAAGCGUUGUGAGCAAGCGAUGUGGCAGAUUGCAGGGUGAGGGGGACAAACCUGGGCCAGGAGCCAGGGGUUUCUCUACCCCCUUCCCUGACUUACAGCUGGAACUGGGCUCAGUGGUUUCAGCCUCAUUUGCUAAGAAGGUCUGGGUAUGUAAUCCUGGCUGCAUCUUAAAAUCCCUAGGAGCUUUUAAGACAUAUUGACACAUAAGCUCUAACUCACAUGAAACGAAAACACAUCUCUGGGGCUGGGCUGAGCAAAUGCAUUUUUUAAAAGGCCCCUCAGGUGAUUCUGUCUCAGAGAUGUUGAAAACCAGUGGGUUAGGAGCUCAGUCAUCCACUUUCAGAUCUGUGAUUAUGCCACUAUUAAAUACAGUUGGCUAUCACAUAGAUUUUAUGCUUUAGCUUGUUCUUUUUUCCUUUGCUAUACCAAAUAAAAUCUUCUGAGCUGUAGUUCCAGUCCUUAAAAUAAUGGUUGUUACCAUACUGAGGUUAAACAUUAGUGCAUUUGCUUAACAAGGACUUUAAAACUUAUCACACUGCCAUAAUUUUUAAUGGUUUCUAUAAUGAUUAAUUAAUAAGAAAAUCAAUAAUUGGAUUUUAAGCAGGAAACUAGGCAGGAAAGUUGAAAUUCAUAGACCAAUUCAAUGGAAAACAUUAAAAUGUAUUGGGAGAUGCCCAAUAUUCUAUGCUGUUUGGUGGUUCACUGGUUUCUAAUCUAUUAUAACGGCACCCAUAGUUAAAAAGCACUAGUUUUUUUUUGGUCUGAUAGUUGAAAAAACAACAAUCCUUUGCACGUAGGAAUUAUUUUUUCCAACAUCAUAAUUUCUGACUUUGCACAUAUUCUAUUGAAUUGCCAAAAUGACUUUAAAGAGUCUAGUACAUGCAGGGAAUAUUACAAUUGCAAUCAUUAUUUUAACACCAUCUCCUCCCCCUCUUCCCUUCCCAAAAGAUAUAAAGACAUAAACAUCAUCUGCUGCCAAAUAAAUCCUGAAAUUCGAGGGCGAUGCUGGGAAGGUAUGAAAUUAGAGGGAGGCAUGUUGCUUUUGCACUUUCAGAUCAAUGGCUGAAUUCCAGACCCGGGGAAGCCUUUCAGAUCCGCAUGUAAUUUGUUUAAACAAUUGCUGUUCAUCUGCCACAGCAGCACUUGUAAUGCCGCAGGGAGGAACUUGCAGCAUUUCUUGCUCACUUCAAGAAAUCAACUAUAACAAACCUCUUCCAGAAGACUACGACAUCCAUAUUUCUGCAAUAGUUAGAUAAAAGUUAAAGAACUGUUCCUUUUGUGAAUAUUCACAGUCCACUGCAUAUAAUCGUUUAUGAAAACUGAACCCUAUAAAGAGCGAGAGUAGAGGACUGUGGUGAGAACAGAGGGAUCGAAGGGAAUCAGCUCGCUUGAAGAGCUGUCCCCGGGCGGCGGCAGGAGUACCUGGGGAUAAGCGGAUUGCAUUCUCCAGGAUCCAGGGGAUUGAUGUCACAGUUCUCAUAGUCAAAGGUUCCAUUCCAUAAGUGCUUUGCCAGCUGAAAUGCUAUUUUUCGUUGUGCUAAUGUGACUUCUUUCCCAUGCCAUACGUAAACUUCACUACCAAAAUCAAACACCAGUACCUGGGAGAAAUGGCACAAAAGAAUUUGUUAACUUCAAGAACAUGCAACAGUUGAAUCAGGUGCAACAGGGUCUCUUGUUGACAGUGAGUCAAACGGAGGAAGACAGAAAUCCUAACGGGGCGACCAACACAGACACAAAAAGGCCAGGAGAUCUCAGCUGGCACUGCCCCACCGAGCCAGCCUCUGCCCUGCGGGCACGAUUCCUCCUCCCAGUGUCCUAAGUGGCCAGGAUAAUGUUCCCUCCUCUGAACUCUCAACCUGCUUACAACUUGCGAUUCACAAGAGUUCUUUAGGUACAUCUUCCUGUCGACUUCCUGCCUCUCUCCCCUAUUCCUCCCCCUCUCAUGUGCUCAUUCAUUCACUUAAUAUAUACACAGAGGCCACUUCAUAUACCGCAGGCACUCAUGGUCCAGUGGUGUCUUCUCUCCAGUACACAAUUCCAAGAUCCUUAAGGGCAGGGAUCAGAUCAUGGUGAUACAUACAGGAGGGGUUGAUUACUAAGUGUUUGCUGAAUGAAUACAUGAAUGUAAUGCUAUUUCUUAUGUUCAUGGUUCAUUUUAUUCUUUCUCCUAGAAUGAGUUCUCCCUUCACUUCCAGCAAUUCAAAUUUUGCUUAACUCUAAACUAGGCUCAAUUUCACUUUCUAUGUAAAAUUAUUCCUGAAGGUUUCUUUUUCUGUGACUUUUCCCUCAUGUAAAUGCCCAUACAUGUCACACAGUCAACCUUGCUCCAGAUUACAUUCCUUCUAAUACUCUUCCACCCAAUUAAACUUAAGGGCCUGCGUGUCUUCCACUUUCUCAACACUUAGCAUGCUUAAUGAUACUGGAAAUGUAUGUAAUUAAUAAAUAUUUACUGCUGUGACAGGACAAAAACAGCACAUUAAUUGGGAAAUCCAUAAAUUAUAUAUGCAUGCAUCUAGUGUUCCUUAAACUUAAGGAUUUAAAAAUAUUUUAUUAUAAUGUUUAUGCAAAAUGCAAAAGAUAGGGCUAAGUAAUAUUUGUAUUUUGCCUAAGAUAUAAAAGCCUUCAAUGAUCCAUGCCAACUCUAAAUGAUAUUCUGGAUUCCAUAUUAGCAUUUAAGAUACCAGUAAUGGUUUGAAAUCA